GCUUGGAUGGUCUAGUUGGUUAUGACGACUGCCUCACACGCAGUAGGUCCCGAGUUCGAUUCUCGGCUCCAGUA
RNAcentral lists this transfer RNA (74 nucleotides) under Perkinsus chesapeaki. It matches the Rfam family "tRNA". Rfam says of the family: Transfer RNA (tRNA) molecules are approximately 80 nucleotides in length. Their secondary structure includes four short double-helical elements and three loops (D, anti-codon, and T loops). Lineage: Eukaryota; Perkinsozoa; Perkinsida; Perkinsidae. The record is from Rfam by way of RNAcentral.